RNAcentral lists this ribosomal RNA (467 nucleotides) under uncultured bacterium. RNAcentral's name for it is "partial 16S ribosomal RNA". It matches the Rfam family "Bacterial small subunit ribosomal RNA", at positions 28 to 506 of the family's 1533-position model. The record is from RNAcentral.
GACGAACGCUGGCGGCGUGCUUAACACAUGCAAGUCGAACGGAAAGGCCCUGCUUUUGUGGGGUGCUCGAGUGGCGAACGGGUGAGUAACACGUGAGUAACCUGCCCUUGACUUUGGGAUAACUUCAGGAAACUGGGGCUAAUACCGGAUAGGAGCUGCUGCUGCAUGGUGGGGGUUGGAAAGUUUCGGCGGUUGGGGAUGGACUCGCGGCUUAUCAGCCUGUUGGUGGGGUAGUGGCUUACCAAGGCUUUGACGGGUAGCCGGCCUGAGAGGGUGACAGGCUACAUUGGGACUGGGGUACGGCCCAGACUCAUACGGGAGGAAGGAGUGGGGAAUAUUGCGAAAUGGGCGGAAGCAUGGAGGAGCAACGCCGCGUGCGGGAUGACGGCCUUCGGGUUGGAAACCGCUUGCGCGUGUGAAGGAGCGUGAGUGACGGAAAUGGGUAGAGAAGCACCGGCUAACUAGGU